Molecule: ribosomal RNA, 491 nt
Filed under: uncultured bacterium
Lineage: Bacteria
Description: partial 16S ribosomal RNA
Rfam family: Bacterial small subunit ribosomal RNA
Source: RNAcentral
AGUGAACGCUGGCGGUAGGCCUAACACAUGCAAGUCGAACGGCAGCACAGUAAGAGCUUGCUCUUACGGGUGGCGAGUGGCGGACGGGUGAGGAAUACAUCUGAAUCUACUUUUUCGUGGGGGAUAACGUAGGGAAACUUACGCUAAUACCGCAUACGACCUACGGGUGAAAGCAGGGGAUCUUCGGACCUUGCGCGAUUGAAUGAGCCGAUGUCGGAUUAGCUAGUUGGCGGGGUAAAGGCCCACCAAGGCGACGAUCCGUAGCUGGUCUGAGAGGAUGAUCCGCCACACUGGAGCUGAGACACGGUCCAGACUCCUACGGGAGGCAGCAGUGGGGAAUAUUGGACAAUGGGCGCAAGCCUGAUCCAGCCAUACCGCGUGGGUGAAGAAGGCCUUCGGGUUGUAAAGCCCUUUUGUUGGGAAAGAAAAGCAGCAGGUUAAUACCCCGCUGUUCUGACGGUACCCAAAGAAUAAGCACCGGCUAACUUCGU